Molecule: transfer RNA, 79 nt
Filed under: Streptosporangiaceae bacterium NEAU-GS5
Lineage: Bacteria; Bacillati; Actinomycetota; Actinomycetes; Streptosporangiales; Streptosporangiaceae
Description: tRNA-Lys
Source: RNAcentral
GCGUCGCCCGGCAUCCGGUUUGGCGGUUGCCCGCUGACUCUUAAUCAGCGGGUCCGGGGUUCGAGUCCCUGGCGGCGCA